GAUGAACGCUGGCGGCGUGCCUAAUACAUGCAAGUCGAGCGAACAGAUGAGGAGCUUGCUCCUCUGACGUUAGCGGCGGACGGGUGAGUAACACGUGGAUAACCUACCUAUAAGACUGGGAUAACUUCGGGAAACCGGAGCUAAUACCGGAUAAUAUAUUGAACCGCAUGGUUCAAUAGUGAAAGACGGUUUUGCUGUCACUUAUAGAUGGAUCCGCGCCGCAUUAGCUAGUUGGUAAGGUGACGGCUUACCAAGGCAACGAUGCGUAGCCGACCUGAGAGGGUGAUCGGCCACACUGGAACUGAGACACGGUCCAGACUCCUACGGGAGGCAGCAGUAGGGAAUCUUCCGCAAUAGGCGAAAGCCUGACGGAGCAACGCCGCGUGAGUGAUGAAGGUCUUCGGAUCGUAAAACUCUGUUAUUAGGGAAGAACAAAUGUGUAAGUAACUAUGCACGUCUUGACGGUACCUAAUCAGAAAGCCACGGCUAACUACGUG
RNAcentral lists this ribosomal RNA (497 nucleotides) under uncultured bacterium. RNAcentral describes it as "partial 16S ribosomal RNA". It matches the Rfam family "Bacterial small subunit ribosomal RNA", at positions 28 to 507 of the family's 1533-position model. The record is from RNAcentral.